Molecule: long non-coding RNA, 750 nt
Organism: Schistocerca serialis cubense
Lineage: Eukaryota; Metazoa; Arthropoda; Insecta; Orthoptera; Acrididae
Exons: 2
Source: RefSeq, a predicted model, not a curated record
UUUUGGAUAUUCCAACCUGGAGUUUCCAUUGUAUAAUUCUUAUCAUACAUUUUUGGACCCAGAAAACUUUAGCUGGUCUUGAUGUGUUACCCCCAAAAAAUAAUACUGUGUGACAUUAUGGAAUGAAAGUAAGCAUAAUAUGCUAAUCUUUUUAUUUUUAUAUCACUUAUGUCUGCCAACAUUCAUUGUGCAAAUAGAGAAUUGUUUAGGUGCUUUGGUAGUUCUGUGGUAUCCUGUUCCCAGUUGAGUGUAUAUAGAGCUGUAAUCACAAUAAUUUAACACUUCUAUUUGUUUGUCACAGUAUUGUUGGCAUAUACUGGUGGGUGAUAGAGCCUAUUUACUGCACAACACAUGUCUGUGUGUGCAGGAUUGACGUUUGUCAUGGGAGGACAGGAGCUGUGUCAGACAAGCGGUACUGACAAUUGUUUGCUGGCCGCGCCUUGGAAGCUGUAUUAAAAGGACAAGGAGUGUUUGUGUAAUAUUCCGUGGUUUAUGGUACUGUGAUAAUUGUUAAAGAGACAGAUGAAGCAUGGAUUGAAUAGAGACUUUUACUUAUUUCAUAUAUGGGACUCGCUAGAGGCGAGACAUGUUAAUAAUUUGUGGUGGUUAUUAAACCAACCAUAAUAUAAAUGUACAUUAAUAGAGUCUAGUGUUAGAUGACUCAGUUGGCUUAACAGAGUUUAAAUUUUAUGCAAGAAAUUGUAAAGUGGUUUCCUGUUGAAGUGAAAAUAUACCAUGAUGGAACUGAAA